Molecule: ribosomal RNA, 253 nt
Filed under: uncultured bacterium
Lineage: Bacteria
Description: partial 16S ribosomal RNA
Rfam family: Bacterial small subunit ribosomal RNA
Source: RNAcentral
GACAGAGGUCCCGAGCGUUAGGCGGAAUCACUGGGCUUAAAGCGUGUGUAGGCGGCGGCCUAAGUACCUUGUGAAAUCCCACGGCUCACCCGUGGAACUGCUCGGUAUACUGGGUCGCUUGAGCCACUUAGGGGCUACCGGAACAAAUGGUGGAGCGGUGAAAUGCGUAGAUAUCAUCAGGAACUCCGGUGGCGAAGGCGGCUCGCUGGACCUCUUCUGACGCUGAGGCGCGAAAGCCAGGGGAGCAAACGGG